GACGAACGCUGGCGGCGCGCCUAACACAUGCAAGUCGAACGAGCGAGAGAGAGCUUGCUUUCUCGAGCGAGUGGCGAACGGGUGAGUAACGCGUGAGGAAUCUGCCUCAAAGAGGGGGACAACAGUUGGAAACGACUGCUAAUACCGCAUAAGCCCACGGUGCCGCAUGGCACAGAGGGAAAAGGAGUAAUCCGCUUUGAGAUGGCCUCGCGUCCGAUUAGCUAGUUGGUGAGGUAACGGCCCACCAAGGCGACGAUCGGUAGCCGGACUGAGAGGUUGAACGGCCACAUUGGGACUGAGACACGGCCCAGACUCCUACGGGAGGCAGCAGUGGGGAAUAUUGCACAAUGGGGGAAACCCUGAUGCAGCGACGCCGCGUGGAGGAAGAAGGUCUUCGGAUUGUAAACUCCUGUUGUUGGGGAAGAUAAUGACGGUACCCAACAAGGAAGUGACGGCUAACUACGUGCCAGCAGCCGCGGUAAAACGUAGGUCACAAGCGUUGUCCGGAAUCACUGGGUGUAAAGGGAGCGCAGGCGGGAAGACAAGUUGGAAGUGAAAUCUAUGGGCUCAACCCAUAAACUGCUUUCAAAACUGUUUUUCUUGAGUAGUGCAGAGGUAGGCGGAAUUCCCGGUGUAGCGGUGGAAUGCGUAGAUAUCGGGAGGAACACCAGUGGCGAAGGCGGCCUACUGGGCACCAACUGACGCUGAGGCUCGAAAGUGUGGGUAGCAAACAGGAUUAGAUACCCUGGUAGUCCACACCGUAAACGAUGAUUACUAGGUGUUGGAGGAUUGACCCCUUCAGUGCCGCAGUUAACACAAUAAGUAAUCCACCUGGGGAGUACGACCGCAAGGUUGAAACUCAAAGGAAUUGACGGGGGCCCGCACAAGCAGUGGAGUAUGUGGUUUAAUUCGACGCAACGCGAAGAACCUUACCAAGUCUUGACAUCCCUUGACAGGCAUAGAAAUAUGUAUUCUCUUCGGAGCAAGGAGACAGGUGGUGCAUGGUUGUCGUCAGCUCGUGUCGCGAGAUGUUGGGUUAAGUCCCGCAACGAGCGCAACCCUUAUGGUCAGUUACUACGCAAGAGGACUCUGGCCAGACUGCCGUUGACAAAACGGAGGAAGGUGGGGAUGACGUCAAAUCAUCAUGCCCUUUAUGACUUGGGCUACACACGUACUACAAUGGCGUUAAACAAAGAGAAGCAAGACCGCGAGGUGGAGCAAAACUCAGAAACAACGUCCCAGUUCGGACUGCAGGCUGCAACUCGCCUGCACGAAGUCGGAAUUGCUAGUAAUCGUGGAUCAGCAUGCCACGGUGAAUACGUUCCCGGGCCU
Molecule: ribosomal RNA, 1332 nt
Filed under: uncultured bacterium
Lineage: Bacteria
Description: bacterial SSU rRNA
Rfam family: Bacterial small subunit ribosomal RNA
Source: RNAcentral